UAUUUAUAGUUGGACCCGAAUUUUCAACACUGGGAUACAUUUCCUCUUCCUCAUUUUCCCCAGCCAGCAUCAGCUUUUGUGGGCACCCCACACAGUCAAGGAUGAUUAAGGUGUACCCCCUGCAGCCACGGGUAUAGCAAGAACUAAUGCUGGAUAUUAAGUUAGUUUUAGUGGAGAACAUGUCCAACAGCAGGACUUAACUAAGCCAGGGGCACUAUGUCAGUGAUGCCUGUUACUUGACAAAACACUGUUACUACAACCAGAAAUAUCUUUGAAUUUUAAAGGAGAUAUAAAUAAGAGUUAUUAUCCAUGUCAUGUGGUUUAGUAAGUAUACAAGAAUGCUGUUGUAGCUUUUGUUGGUUUGACAUACGUGUUACAAAAUAUCAGGGCAAGACAAUUUGCUGUUGUUGGGGCCCCCAGCGAUCUCAGGUGCCUAAAACCGGCUAUGACCUAGAUGGUUAUAAACAUAAUAUGGCUUGAUAAACUCUAACGUUUCUAACACGUUUAGUAAAAAAAAAAUACUCUUUAUAGAGUAGAAAGAGUACGCCCUGGCUACACCCUUGUAACCUUCCAAAACAGGGUGUAGAGCAGUAUUUUGGUUGGUUGUAGUUGUCACGUGUAGCGGAAGAGUUUCAUGUCUAGUUGCCUUGAGACUGACGAGUGAGAGUAGUAGCCGGUUUUCAGUUCUGCAGUAAACGUUGGGUUGUGUGAAUCGUUUGAAUAGAGUAUUUCGAAAUGGGAGUUAAAAUUCACGUGGAGUACUGUGGCUCCUGAGGUUAUGGGCCCCGCUAUCAGGAACUGGCCACAGCAGUUAAAAAGGUGCAUCCUGAUGCGGAGAUUUCUGGUGCAGUUGGGAGAACAAGCAAGUUUUUUUUUUUUUUUUUUUUUUUUUUUUUU
Molecule: long non-coding RNA, 897 nt
Organism: Protopterus annectens (West African lungfish)
Lineage: Eukaryota; Metazoa; Chordata; Ceratodontiformes; Protopteridae
Exons: 2
Source: RefSeq, a predicted model, not a curated record